CUCUCUCUCCACUCCCCGAUACAUGCAGUGUACAGCGGUGCCAGUGGAGUGACAAGACUUCUGAGGUCUGGGUCUGAUCGCUAUAUCUGUGAACUGAUCUACCAGAUGACUGCUUUAUGCUGGCAUUACCGCUGUGACCCGUGAUGGACAAGUGUUUGCCUACAGGUUAGGUUCCUACAAUAUAGGAUCCGCUCAGUGGAUAUCUUCUAUAUAAGAUCCUUCUCC
This is a long non-coding RNA of Bufo gargarizans (Asiatic toad), 225 nucleotides long. RefSeq lists it as uncharacterized. The transcript has 3 exons. The record is from RefSeq and is a predicted model, not a curated record. Lineage: Eukaryota; Metazoa; Chordata; Amphibia; Anura; Bufonidae.